This 67-nucleotide transfer RNA is filed under the name Eudonia angustea. RNAcentral describes it as "tRNA-Glu". The record is from RNAcentral. Lineage: Eukaryota; Metazoa; Arthropoda; Insecta; Lepidoptera; Crambidae.
AUAUAUAUAGUUUAAAUAAAACAUUACAUUUUCACUGUAAAAUAAAAUAAUUUAUAUUUUAUAUAUA